RNAcentral lists this ribosomal RNA (492 nucleotides) under uncultured bacterium. Its description in RNAcentral is "partial 16S ribosomal RNA". It matches the Rfam family "Bacterial small subunit ribosomal RNA", at positions 29 to 507 of the family's 1533-position model. The record is from RNAcentral.
AGUGAACGCUGGCGGUAGGCCUAACACAUGCAAGUCGAACGGCAGCACAGUAAGAGCUUGCCCUUACGGGUGGCGAGUGGCGGACGGGUGAGGAAUACAUCGGAAUCUACUUUUUCGUGGGGGAUAACGUAGGGAAACUUACGCUAAUACCGCAUACGACCUACGGGUGAAAGCAGGGGAUCUUCGGACCUUUCGCGAUUGAAUGAGCCGAUGUCGGAUUAGCUAGUUGGCGGGGUAAAGGCCCACCAAGGCGACGAUCCGUAGCUGGUCUGAGAGGAUGAUCAGCCACACUGGAACUGAGACACGGUCCAGACUCCUACGGGAGGCAGCAGUAGGGAAUAUUGGACAAUGGGCGAAAGCCUGACCCAGCAAUGCCGCGUGAGUGAAGAAGGUCUUCGGAUCGUAAAGCCCUUUUAUUGGGAAAGAACAGCAGUGGGUUAAUCCCCCGCUGUUCUGACGGUACCCAAUGAGUAAGCACCGGCUAACUACGUG